CCUCUCUAUGCUGGGGAGAUCACUUCCUUCGUCCUCAAGGGUUCAGACAUCGAGUAUAACCCGGUGGUCUCUGCCCUUGCCGCACAUGUAGAACCGGUGACCGUCCAAGAACUCUAUAAUCAACUCCUCAGUUUUGAAG
Molecule: small nucleolar RNA, 139 nt
Filed under: Hordeum vulgare
Lineage: Eukaryota; Viridiplantae; Streptophyta; Magnoliopsida; Poales; Poaceae
Description: Small nucleolar RNA Z247
Rfam family: Small nucleolar RNA Z247
About the family: Z247 is a member of the C/D class of snoRNA which contain the C (UGAUGA) and D (CUGA) box motifs. Most of the members of the box C/D family function in directing site-specific 2'-O-methylation of substrate RNAs.
Source: RNAcentral